UUCGCCCUUAGAGUUUGAUCAUGGCUCAGAUUGAACGCUGGCGGCAGGCCUAACACAUACAAGUCGAGCGGUAACAGGAGAAAGCUUGCUUUCUUCCUGACGAGCGGCGGACGGGUGAGUAAUGUAUGGGGAUCUGCCCGAUAGAGGGGGAUAACUACUGGAAACGGUGGCUAAUACCGCAUAAUGUCUACGGACCAAAGCAGGGGCUCUUCGGACCUUGCACUAUCGGAUGAACCCAUAUGGGAUUAGCUAGUAGGUGGGGUAAAGGCUCACCUAGGCGACGAUCUCUAGCUGGUCUGAGAGGAUGAUCAGCCACACUGGGACUGAGACACGGCCCAGACUCUACGGGAGGCAGCAGUGGGGAAUAUUGCACAAUGGGCGCAAGCCUGAUGCAGCCAUGCCGCGUGUAUGAAGAAGGCCUUAGGGUUGUAAAGUACUUUCAGCGGGGAGGAAGGUGAUAAGGUUAAUACCCUUGUCAAUUGACGUUACCCGCAGAAGAAGCACCGGCUAACUCCGUGCCAGCAGCCGCGGUAAUACGGAGGGUGCAAGCGUUAAUCGGAAUUACUGGGCGUAAAGCGCACGCAGGCGGUCAAUUAAGUCAGAUGUGAAAGCCCCGAGCUUAACUUGGGAAUUGCAUCUGAAACUGGUUGGCUAGAGUCUUGUAGAGGGGGGUAGAAUUCCAUGUGUAGCGGUGAAAUGCGUAGAGAUGUGGAGGAAUACCGGUGGCGAAGGCGGCCCCCUGGACAAAGACUGACGCUCAGGUGCGAAAGCGUGGGGAGCAAACAGGAUUAGAUACCCUGGUAGUCCACGCUGUAAACGAUGUCGAUUUAGAGGUUGUGGUCUUGAACCGUGGCUUCUGGAGCUAACGCGUUAAAUCGACCGCCUGGGGAGUACGGCCGCAAGGUUAAAACUCAAAUGAAUUGACGGGGGCCCGCACAGCGGUGGAGCAUGUGGUUUAAUUCGAUGCAACGCGAAGACCUUACCAUACUCCUGACAUCCAGCGAAUCCUUUAGAAUAGAGGAGUGCCUUCGGGAACGCUGAAACAGGUGCUGCAUGGCUUUUCGUCAGCUCGUGUUGUGAAAUGCUGGAGUUAAGUCCGCAACGAGCCCAUUCCCUUAUCCUUUGUUGCCAGCACGUGAUAAUGGGAACUCAAGGAGACUGCCG
This 1164-nucleotide ribosomal RNA is filed under the name uncultured bacterium. RNAcentral's name for it is "bacterial SSU rRNA". It matches the Rfam family "Bacterial small subunit ribosomal RNA", at positions 1 to 1154 of the family's 1533-position model. The record is from RNAcentral.